GUGGAUACGACGGAACGGGGCUAAUACCGGAUAAUACAUGAAACCGCAUGGUUUCAUGAUGAAAGACGGUUUUGCUGUCACUUAUAGAUGGACCCGCGGCGUAUUAGCUAGUUGGUAAGGUAACGGCUUACCAAGGCAACGAUACGUAGCCGACCUGAGAGGGUGAUCGGCCACACUGGAACUGAGACACGGUCCAGACUCCUACGGGAGGCAGCAGCU
RNAcentral lists this ribosomal RNA (219 nucleotides) under uncultured Staphylococcus sp. Its description in RNAcentral is "partial 16S ribosomal RNA". It matches the Rfam family "Bacterial small subunit ribosomal RNA", at positions 141 to 355 of the family's 1533-position model. The record is from RNAcentral. Lineage: Bacteria; Bacillati; Bacillota; Bacilli; Caryophanales; Staphylococcaceae.